AACGUAGUAGGCAAGCGUUAUCCGGAUUUACUGGGCGUAAAGGGCUCGUAGGCGGCCAACUAAGUCAGACGUGAAAUCCCUAGGCUCAACCUAGGAACUGCGUCUGAUACUGGAUGGCUUGAAUCCGGGAGAGGGAUGCAGAAUUCCAGGUGUAGCGGUGAAAUGCGUAGAUAUCUGGAGGAAUACCGGUGGCGAAGGCGGCGUUCUGGACUGCAACUGACACUGAUGAACGAAAGCCAGGGGAGCAAACGGG
RNAcentral lists this ribosomal RNA (253 nucleotides) under uncultured bacterium. RNAcentral describes it as "partial 16S ribosomal RNA". It matches the Rfam family "Bacterial small subunit ribosomal RNA", at positions 524 to 776 of the family's 1533-position model. The record is from RNAcentral.